RNAcentral lists this ribosomal RNA (274 nucleotides) under uncultured bacterium. Its description in RNAcentral is "partial 16S ribosomal RNA". It matches the Rfam family "Bacterial small subunit ribosomal RNA", at positions 524 to 796 of the family's 1533-position model. The record is from RNAcentral.
GACGUAGGGUGCAAGCGUUGUCCGGAUUUACUGGGCGUAAAGCGCGCGUAGGCGGUCUGUUAAGUGCACAAGUGAAAGCUCCGGGCUCAACUCGGAAAUUGCUUUGCAUACUGGCAGGCUGGAGGGACGCAGAGGUCUGUGGAAUUCCUGGUGUAACGGUGAAAUGUGUUGAUAUCAGGAGGAACACCCAUGGCGAAGGCAGCAGACUGGGCGUUUCCUGACGCUGAGGCGCGAAAGCGUGGGUAGCAAACAGGAUUAGAAACCCCAGUAGUCC